GGGGAGUGGGGCAGGCCUACCAUGCAAGUCGAGCGGAUGAAGGGAGCUUGCUCCUGGAUUCAGCGGCGGACGGGUGAGUAAUGCCUAGGAAUCUGCCUGGUAGUGGGGGAUAACGUCCGGAAACGGGCGCUAAUACCGCAUACGUCCUGAGGGAGAAAGUGGGGGAUCUUCGGACCUCACGCUAUCAGAUGAGCCUAGGUCGGAUUAGCUAGUUGGUGGGGUAAAGGCCUACCAAGGCGACGAUCCGUAACUGGUCUGAGAGGAUGAUCAGUCACACUGGAACUGAGACACGGUCCAGACUCCUACGGGAGGCAGCAGUGGGGAAUAUUGGACAAUGGGCGAAAGCCUGAUCCAGCCAUGCCGCGUGUGUGAAGAAGGUCUUCGGAUUGUAAAGCACUUUAAGUUGGGAGGAAGGGCAGUAAGUUAAUACCUUGCUGUUUUGACGUUACCAACAGAAUAAGCACCGGCUAACUUCGUGCCAGCAGCCGCGGUAAUACGAAGGGUGCAAGCGUUAAUCGGAAUUACUGGGCGUAAAGCGCGCGUAGGUGGUUCAGCAAGUUGGAUGUGAAAUCCCCGGGCUCAACCUGGGAACUGCAUCCAAAACUACUGAGCUAGAGUACGGUAGAGGGUGGUGGAAUUUCCUGUGUAGCGGUGAAAUGCUUAUAUAUAGGAGGGAACACCAGUGGGGAAAGCGACCACCUGUACUGACACUGACUCUGAGGUGCGAAAGCAUGGGGAGCAAACGGGGAGUGCAUACCCUGCUAGGUGCCCCCUCCAAAAUGUCGACUAGUCCGCGCGGGAG
This 802-nucleotide ribosomal RNA is filed under the name Pseudomonas aeruginosa. RNAcentral's name for it is "bacterial SSU rRNA". It matches the Rfam family "Bacterial small subunit ribosomal RNA", at positions 32 to 831 of the family's 1533-position model. The record is from RNAcentral. Lineage: Bacteria; Pseudomonadati; Pseudomonadota; Gammaproteobacteria; Pseudomonadales; Pseudomonadaceae.